Molecule: ribosomal RNA, 468 nt
Filed under: uncultured bacterium
Lineage: Bacteria
Description: partial 16S ribosomal RNA
Rfam family: Bacterial small subunit ribosomal RNA
Source: RNAcentral
GACGAACGCUGGCGGCGUGCUUAACACAUGCAAGUCGAACGGAAAGGCCCUGCUUUUGUGGGGUGCUCGAUUGGCGAACGGGUGAGUAACACGUGAGUAACCUGCACUUGACUUUGUGAUAUCUUCAGGAAACUGGGGCUAAUACCGGAUAGGAGCUCCUGCUGCAUGGUGUGGGUUGGAAAGUUUCGGCGGUUGGGGAUGGACUCGCGGCUUAUCAGCUUGUUGGUGGGGUAGUGGCUUACCAAGGUUUUGACGGGUAGCCCGCCUGAGAGGGUGACCGGCCACAAUGGGACUGAGAUACGGCGCAGAAUGCUACGGGAGGCAGCAGUGGGGAAUAUGGCACAAUGGGCGGAAGCCUGAUGCAGCAACGCCGCGUGCGGGAUGACGGCCUUCGGGUUGAAAACAGCUUUCGAAUGAAACGAAGAGUGAGUGACGGUAAUGGGUAAAGAAGCACCGGCUAACUACGUG